This 286-nucleotide signal recognition particle RNA is filed under the name Vulpes vulpes (red fox). Its description in RNAcentral is "Metazoan signal recognition particle RNA (ENSVVUG00000015108.1)". It matches the Rfam family "Metazoan signal recognition particle RNA". Rfam says of the family: The signal recognition particle (SRP) is a universally conserved ribonucleoprotein. It is involved in the co-translational targeting of proteins to membranes. Lineage: Eukaryota; Metazoa; Chordata; Mammalia; Carnivora; Canidae. The record is from Rfam by way of RNAcentral.
GCUGGGCGCGGUGGCGCGCGCCUGUAUUCCCAGCUACUCGGGUGGCUGAGGCAGGAGGAUCGCUUGAGCCCAAGAGUUCUGGGCUGUAGUGCGCUAUGCCAAUUGGGUGUCCGCACUAAGUUCGGCAUCAAUAUGGUGACCUCCCGGGAGUGGGGGACCACCAGGUUGCCUAAAGAGGGGUGAACCGGCCCAGGUCAGAAGUGGCAGCUAGGGCUUGUUGCUAUUCUGUUCCGUUCAGGGGUGGUAACUACUGGGCAGCUUCCUCAGACUCGGGAUCCCCGCUCUU